CAUCAACUGCCUUCUGAUGGGUGAGUUCUAGACCAUCUGGGACAGCUGUAACCAUGUCCCCACAAGCCCAUGCAUAGCAAGGAGCAAGACCUCUGGCAUCACUGUGCCUCAGCCAGACCUUUCCCCACCACACCAGCACUGCCACCAUGGAAGCCUCCACACCAAGGUGGGUGGGCUGUGCUCUCUCCUCCCACAGACACCAUCCCACCUCCAACCUUAGCCUCCCCUUCUUUCCUAGCCUGCCAUUUGCUUCUUUGGCCCUUCCUCCCAAGCCUUCCCCCAGCAUAUUGGCAGGCUUGGCUCCACAGCCAGUGGUCCCCUUUGGGGUCACCCCCUUGAACACCACUAUGCCUUCACAGUCCCCCCAACUGGGGCCUCCAUCUAGCUUGGGUAGGAGCUUCCUUCCCACUCACCAGGGCCCAAAGCCCAACAGUAUUCUCAAGGCUUCACCUGUAUGUAGCUCCAGCUGGCCAGCUCUAAGGGUAUAACAACACACUCCACACGGGAAGCCACCUCACAUCCUUAGAGCCACCAUCCCACCAAUCCCUGGAGUUCCUGAUGGGAAGAAGCUCAGAGCCCCCAUCUUUGCCAGCUGUCAGCAGUUUGGAUACCUGGGAGUUCCAGGUCUAGGAGCAGCACCAUUCCCAUCCUUGACAGCAGGCCCCACAACCUUGGGCAGCCCAAACCUCUCAGUCCUUGUGGCUAACAAACAGAAAUCCCACCCAUGGUGUCCAUGCCAGCUCCCAGACACAGGCUGCAAGGCCCACUGGUGCAUCUAGUACAUCAGCCUCUGCCUCUGUAGCUGCCACCCAGAGGCCAGGGCCUGUGGCCAGAGUUUGUCCAAAGAACAGGCAGCUCCAGUCAACAUGGGACAAAAAGGUUCCUCCCCCUAAAGGCUGCCAGUGUCAGUUACCUCAAAGCCAACUGGGAGGACAGACUUGUCAUCAGGUCCGAUGUCUCACAUAGCAGUAAUGAGAAUUUACUCAAAAUGUAGGGGAAUCUAAAACCAGAGAGCACCAUGAAGCAAACUUGGGACAGAACACCUACACUGCUCCUAGCCAGAGCAUCACCAUGAUGCCCAAGAAACACAGACCAAGAGCAAACAGGUGCAAGGAAAUACUGGAGUUCCCACCCUGAGUGCCAUCCCUCAAAGUCUGCCCUCCCAGAAAUCCCUAAGCUCACACCAACCCAAGAAAGGCUACCUAUUCGCUCAUUUGUCCUGUGACAUCAAUGGGAUCUGGGAGUCCAAAUUUGCUCCCAGAUCUCAUAUGAGACUUGGGGCCAUUUGCAUCUUCCCUCAGAGAGGAGGGAAUCCAAGCAACAGACAGCAACAUGGGACAAGCUUAGGAGAGAACAACUCCAGUGCCCCUAGGCAGAGCACCACAGUGAGGACCAAGAGACACAAAGCAAAGCACAAAACAGAGCAAAGAACCACUGGUGUUCCUAUAGUCACUGCCGCCCCCAAAGCCUUCCCAAGCAGAAACUCUUAAGCUCUCUUGGGGGAGCCAGCACCACAUCCAAAAAGGUCACCUCUACUUGCAAUCUGUCUCAUUGCCACCAAUGGGGUUUGGGGGCCCAGACUAGCUCUAGGAUCUCAUAUCUGCCUUUGGGGCCAUGUGUAUCGCAAAGAGGAGAAACAAGAUAUCACCAGCACAGAAAUACAGCAGAUCAUUAAGGACUAUUUUGAAAACGUGUACUCCAAUACAGUGAAAAGAAAAAGAAGAAAUGGAUACGUUUCUAGAUAUAUAUGAUCUGUCAAAAUUGAAUCAAGAGGAAAUAAAAAUAACUUGUAAUGAGAUAGACACAGUAAUAAAAACCCUUCUAUCAACUAGGGGUAGGGAGUUCAAGAGAAGAAUAAGGAGAUGGUGUGGGUGGGGAAUUCAUACAGAGCUGGAGACAGACAGGAGUGAAGAGAUCAAGUGAACGGACUGCAUGAGGAAGGCCAGGCAGUGGGAACCCUGUGGGUUAAGGCAGAAAGAAUGAUACCUGUGAGCAUCUCAGGAUGCAGAGAGGGAGAAGGACGGGAUUCAGAAGGAAAGGAAGAUUGAGCCAUACCAUGGAAACAGCCAAAGUUGGCAGGAUGGCAUCAUCCCUCCCCCUGCCCUCCAUCCCUCAAGUCUAUUUGCAUCUGUGCCUUAAACUUCCCAAAAUACUACCAUCCUCACCACCAUCACUGUCCCAAUUCCAGCCUCUCCCAGCCUCACCUCCUCCCUGCCUUGCCCAAAACAAGUUAAAAAAUUCAAAGCCACCAGCUUUUAAAAUAUAGCUCUUUUCCCUGUACCUUUUCCUUCCAUCUGCUUGUAACUUGUACUCCAAGUCAGCUCUAUAGGGGCAGUUGUGUUUGCCACACAGGCUCUUUCUUCUUUAGAGUUGGAGAAACUGAAGCCAAGAGAAGUAAUUUCUAUUUCUAUUUCAGAUCUUGAUCUAUACCACCUCCAGGAAGCCCUCCUGACCACCCCACUACCCUGUCAGGUUGGGUUUCCUGGUUAUUUGUUUUUAUAUAACUAUGUUUGGGGGGCUGUAGAGAACUGGCCUCAGGUUGUCACUCUUUUUCAAUUUGUUUGGUUUAGUCAAUGCCUUUCUAUCUCACAAAGCAUGCAGAAGAUGCCAGAGAAACAGUGAAUGAGUGAAUGUCAGUUUGGGUUCUUGUGACAAGUGCCAGGAAGAGGUGUUAGUGGAACAUGGAGGGAGCACCUCAUGGUCCCCACAUGGGGUAUGAAGAGUUUUGGAAGCUUCUAGAAGGAGGUAAUGACUUGACUGGAGCUUGAAACUUGAGUUGCAACUAGAACACACAGGAUCGGACUUGGUGGGAGGCUCUGCAUAAACAAAGGCAUGUAGGUGAUCCCCAGCCCCCGCCAACUUCAGAAACCUGGGUUCAAGGACUAAUGGCGAAGCCCUCUGGCCAUAGUCCCAUAACCCCAGGUGCCUUUGAGGCAGUCAAAGUGGUAACAUCCAUCCUCUGCUCACCCCCCUUACUCCAGUGGUUACCAUGGGGCAUUUGAUUCACCUAUCAUUUGCCCCACUAUCCCACAGUGAGAUUUAUUUUUAAGUCACCUUCAAAGUCCUCCAGGCUUCCUGAUUUAGUCACCCUGUCUUCUGUGACUCUUUUGUAAAGGUAAAAUUGGGAUCCCUGGAGGACUGCAGCCCAUGAACCUCAUUGGCUCAGCCUCAUUUACCCCAUUAUUGUUGCUAUUCCUCUCUCCCCACCAAGUGGCAGAGGCAUCUGUUUUGGUGCUUGAGUUCUUUGCACCAGGAGUUUAGAAUAGACUUGUUUAUGUAGAAGAAUACAAAAAUCCAACACCUAAUGUUUCUUCCCAUGUUCCUGGUCUUUGACAAAACAAUUCUAGUUGGAUAAUAGUGUAAUAUUUCAGGGACCUAUUUAAAGACAGUUUUUUCCUUUGAUUCUAGCAUAUACAGACUCCAUGCUCUAUUAAAUCUUUUUCCCCCUUGGUCACAGGUUCAUUGUUACAAGAAGGGCAGUCAGUGAAAAUUCUUUCUAGGGAGAUAGUAUGGGCUUAAUAUUUCCCAUACUUACAGAUUACAACAGAGAUUCCCCAAACAUUUUGUGUCUUCUGUGUAUCUCACAUCUCUUCUCAUUAUCUGGACUACAAAUCUGCCAAUUUCCCCAUCCAUGCAAAUUGCCUAAGGAUAGAGACCUCCAAAGAGCUCAAACAGCAAGGAAACCAAAGAGCCAGACCAGGGCCUCUGUAGGAGUGAGAAACCUCACCAGAGAGCCAAAUAAAAUGACAGCCUCCUGCCUCUCAACUCUGAGGGCAAAGCUGCCAGGAAAUGGGUGGGAAAGGGAUGCCUCCACUUCUCCCAGGAUCACAGAGGUCAGGGUGAGACUUGUGGUAUGUGUCUAGAAAGGGCUGACACCAGGUCACAUGAGGAAGAAGGUGGAUGCUUAGUGAGUAAAACGUUUUCUCUUGGACCCCUGCCCCAGGAGUGGAUCUUGCCCUGGAAGAAGAUGGUCUGGUGGUUGGUCCAGGAGGCCUUGGGUGGAUGAGCAAUGGGCCCUAAAGAUGAGGUUCCUCUUCACUGUGUCCCCAUGAGAAGCAGAGCUGCCAGGGUGAGAGGCUAGUACAGAUGUGCUGGCCUACAUGCAGCCUUGCUUGUGGUGGUGCUGCUGCCCCAAAGCAAACUUGUGCAUUUCUUCUUGAGUGGCCCUUUGGGGAUGACACUGAAAGUAAAUGCAUGGGUGGUUCCAAGCACACAGUUGGUCUUUGUCCUAUGUAACUUGGUCCCCAUGGAAAUUCUCUGACUAGUGGGACCACAGUUGUUCAGACCCAAGCUUGAUUCAUAGAUCUGUCUUAUGCUUGGGAGUCCCUCCUCUUUGAAAGGAGAUGUUCAUUACCCAAAGGCAGAUAUCAGAUCUGGGGUAAAGUCUCUGUACUACCCUUUCACCGAGGCCACUGCCAUGGGCACAGACAUGUGGUUUUCCUUCAAUGGUGCUGGGCCCUGAAUGGGACUUGGGGAUUUCUUGAGUGAGCCUUUGUAUUGAGCAGGAAUAUGUAGGGGCGCCUGUGCCUCCAUGCACAGGUUUGCUGUUUGUCCUUUGUCUCUUGGUCACUGGAGGUGCUCUGGUUAGAGGUGCUGCAGGCUUUCAUGCUCCAGACUUGCCCCAUAGCACUUUCUGGUCCUUGGGGGACCCUCUUCCUUUGAAGCAGAUGAUCAGUGCUCCAAAGGCCAGUAUCAGUGUGGAAGCAAGUCUGUGCUACCAGAUCCCAGUGAUGUCAUGGGCAUGGACUUAAAAAUGCAAGCAGCCUUUCUGGGUGAGGUGCUGGCCCCUGAGUUGAACUUAGGGGUUUAUACUUGGGCAGACAUUGGAGAUGCCACUAAAAUUAGAAGCACUUAUAGCUAGGGUGUCAAAGUUGGCCCUAAGCUGGACCCAUGAUGCUCAACAAAGACCAACAGGGGAGAGAGAAAGCAAGUGUAGUCUUCUACCAGAGCCUGGGAUCAGAAGCCUUUAAAUCCAAAGCUGAUGGAUGCCAUCCUUUCCCCUUUGAAUGUGAUAGUUGUCAAGUGAGUCACAGUCAUUUCACAGGAGCAUUGCUAGCACAGCUAGGCAUUUGAGAGGAAUGAAAACUAGGAUAGGAGGGUUUUGAUUGGGAGUGGAUAUUGGGAUGUUUAAUGCAAUUGUAUUUCUAGAAGGUAAACCCUGAUGAGCAUUGCUGAAAAUAUAGAACCAUCUAGAGGACUGAAAUUUGGAUGAUAGAUCUAUCUAUCUAUCUAUCUAUUGAUCUAUCUAUUUUUUGUACCAGAUAUUGAAUGGAGGGGUUCUUAACCACUGAGCCUGUGCCCAGCCUUUUAAAAAUGUAUUUAUUUAGAGAUAGGGUCUAGUUAAAUUGCUUAAGGCCUCAAAAAUUUGUGGAGGCUAGUUGUGAACUCCAGAUCCUCCUGACUCAGGCUGUCCAGUGCUUGGAUAACUGCUGGUUAAUAUUUUUGUUAGGGAAUCCCCAAGAUUAGGGAGAGUGGGUCAUAAAAGAAUUCUUUGUUAUUGUAAAGGGCUGGGGGUUAUAGUUUAAAUUAGUCUAGUAGUGUUCUUAAAUAAUGACACCAUGGAUCACUGAGGGAUUUCUAUGGUCCUAGUUCAGUCACACUCUUUUCUUGCUUUGUGAAACUGAGAUAAAUAUUUCUAUAAUGAUACACCACAGGACUCCACGUCUUGACUGGUAACUAAAGAUUUGUUAGUAGUGUUUUCAAAUAUGAAACUAUAGAUGAGUUAUCAAGUGACGUGUUUUGUCUAGGAAUCAUUUCCUUCCAAAUCAUUCCAAAGAGGUCAUACUGGAAGAGGAUCUAGUCAUUGCAAUACUGACCAGCUCAUCAGUAAUUUUCAUAAUUUCAUCCUCUGUGUAUAAUCAUGCAAUAGAAUGUGUUUGGGAAAGUAUCAGGCUUAAAAUUGAAACAACUAAGAUAUUUAUUUGCCACCUAUGAACAACCUCCAGCAUCAGUGGCCCAAUUUGCCUGCUUACAAUCUGGGCAGCAUAUUACCAAAUUCCCUGUGAUGGAGGAAGAUUGUCCCUUAAAACUGGAGAUCCAGCCCACUGGUGAGGGGCUGGGGUCAGAGCCUGAGGGUUGCUGGCCUGAUCUGGACCUUGACCCCGUGGAGCAAGCUGGAGAGGUAUCUCUGGCUACUCUAAGAGCCCUGGAAGCACCUUCCAGUCCUUUCUCCUUUCUUCCUACACCAUCCCCUUCCCAACCUUCCCUGACUCCUCCCUAAACCUGACUCUGGGUUCCAGAUACAGGGUCAUCUGGGCACUGGGCCUCUGAGCUCUGGGCCUCUAGGCAACAGUGCAAGGCAUGCAUACAUUGCAGAAGUCUGGGGAGAGCCAGACUGGCCAGACUCCACCCAUCUGGACUUGGGGAAAAGCAGCCUUUUUGGAAAAUACCCUCCUAGAUCUAUCAAAUUUAGCCUGACAUUGGCUUCUUCCAAGAGAUUAUCAAGAAAGGAAAAAUAUAAGUUAUCAAGUUUUGUCUUGCUAAAGGGUAGUGUGAGAAAAGACAAACACGUCAGAGUUGGUAGAGCUGGAUUCAAAUCCCUCUUUACUGCAUGGCCUUGACCAGGGUACAGAACUAGGUAUAACCUUGGUUUUGUAUCUUGUAAAAUAAAUAUACUAGGAUGGUAAGCUGUGGGUAAAUUAAGCUCUUGAACACUACCUCAAUUUGGGGGCCAGGUAGGCAUUCAGCAUUAUUUCCAUGCAGAAAUAUAAUCUGAGAUUAAAGGUGAUACAUUUAGAAAUGCACCUUUGGAAGACAACUGACAUGUGAGGUGGGGAGUUGAAAAUUACUGCAUGUUUUUAGAUGAAAUAAAAAUAUAUGGAAGAUUUUAAGCCAAAGCAUGAAAUGUCAGGUUGGGAUCAUGGUAUCAUAGGCUGUUUUCAAAUUUGUUUAAAAUUACAUUGAUCAGCAUCCACUUAUCAGAGAAAACAUUCAGCUUUUGUUUUGGGGGGGGAUUGGCUUAUUUCACUUAGCAUGAUUUUCUCUAGUUCCAUCCAUUUACUUGCAAAUUCCAUAAUUUUAUUCUUCUUUAAGGCUGAGUAGUAUUCUAUUGUGUAUAUGUACCACAUUUUUUUUUAUCCAUCUGUUGGGGGGCAUCUAGGUUGGUUCCAUAGUUUAGCUAUUGUGAAUUGAGCUGCUAUAAAUAUUUAUGUGGCUGAUGAUGCUGAUUUUUAAGGAAGAAAGAAAUAACUUUGGUUUGUGUCGAAUGGUGUGAGGGGAGGGUUGGGGCGGUAUGGAUUGAAAGAAUGGUAAAUGAGACAGACAUUAUUACCCUAUACACAUGUAUGAUUACACUACUGGAAUGACUCCGCACCAUGUACAGCCAGAGGAAUGAGAAAUUGUGCUCCAUUUGUGUAAAAUAUGUCAAAAUGCAUUCUAUUAUCAUGUAUAACUAAUUAAAACAAUUAAAAAAUAAAAAAGAAGAAAAAAAUUACAAUGAGCUAAAUCUAUAUAGUUUGAGCCUUCUAGGAUAUCCCCACCUCUGUCACAUGCACAUGGAGCACUGUCCACAAGUUUUUACGCUUCUUUACAGUGUCACCAAAUAUAUCAUUAUAUGUAUAUACACAUAUAUGCAGAUAUACAUUAUGUAAUAUUUUGUUCCUUUGGUCUUGUUUUGGGAUCUUCUGAAAAUAGAAUCUCAUACUCUCAUAUACAUUCUUUUGCAGCUUUCCCUCAUGAAGUUGCACCCCUUCAGCUGAACAUCAGGAAGAAGGAAAAACCAGACAAGCUUGAGGGUCAGAAGGACGCUAGGCCUGCUCCAAUCACUCUGGAAGCUGACUAGCCUGCACACACCCACAGCAUGAGGAAACAUCAGCCCUGCUUCAGCGACUUGGGGGCUGGCUAAACAACACACAGUAAAAGAUAAACUGACCAACAGGAUAAAUGGACUGUUUCAUCCUCUAAGACAGCUCUUAUACUGUGAUGUAUUGCUACCCCUUACUUCUAUCAUAUAUAUAGUCAUUUCCUUGGGCUUUACUAAAGGAUUGAUAAAGUCAGAAACAUAGUUAACAAUAUCAGAAAGCUAGCACAUGUACCAGUUCAAACCUGAAAGGCAUUAAAGCUUGGCUUCCAAGCUCAGUAUUUGGAGGAUGGUUUUCUAUUCUUGGUGGAUUCAAAAACUCAAAAGCAUUAUGCCCUUACCUUGUUUAUUGUUUCCAUGUGUGUCUCCCCUUUACAUUAAAACCAUAGAGUCUACUACAGAAGCAGCAGUUUUAAAAAAGACAACAACUAAAAUCAUAAAGUUAAGCCAAGAAGAUAAUAAUUGUCUUUAAUCUAAAGGAUUAAAUAAUGAGCAUCAAAGGGGGUAAUGUUGUAGUCCCCCCCCAAAAAAAAAUAACACUUAAUUUUAACAUAGAAUCCUCUCUCCUAGUCAACAAGAUCUUUUUUUAAAAUGUCAGCAGGAGUUCUGAAGAGCUCAUUGUAGGUUGAGCUCUUUGUUGUAGAGGCCAGGUUUCUCUUUCUUGUGAAAGUUAGGUCCGCAAUCAACUUGUUGAUGUGCAAGUUACUGUUUUCUUAAAAAACUUGUGAAAUCUCUGUCCAGCCUAAGAAAAUGGAACAAAAAGUAUCUGUUAUGUUAACCACCCUGUUUUGUUAACUACCCACUGAGUAUAAAUCUCAAAGAAUAUCCAGACUCUGGAUCCAGAAAUUCUACACUAGCCCCUCUGGACCACUGCAGCUUAAAUAAACCUGCUUCCUGAAAAUUUCUCAGGUGUUCAGACUCAUCUGUCAUAUACCAAAGUCUGCUUGAAAUGCUAGAAUGUCCCCAUUCUUGAAGGGCAUACAGAGACAGUCUCUCUAAAUCUGCCAUAAUAUGAAUUCUAUGCAAGGUCAUUAAUCACAAAAAGCUAAAGGGAGAUGGCACUAUAGUGACCUGCUGGAUGUAAAGUCAAUGUUGUAUGAUAAAACUCACAUUGUAUACAUAUAUUAAAUUAUUGUGAUAUACCCCAUAAAGAUAUGUAAAUGAUACAUCUGAAUUUUUUUAAUCUGUGGGAAAAUGUGAUUUGUUUGAAAUCCGAAUGCCAGGUUUUCAUUUUAUGUUGUUUCUAAUAUGCUGUAAUUAUGUUUAAUGAUAUCAUUACAUUUUUAGAUCCGAAAGACAUCAGCAUUUUAUAUUGUAAAGAGGAUUUUGUUAGUAAAAGGGGUAUGUUAGAGAUUAGAAUGUAUGCUUUGCCACUUUAAAAGUUAACAUGUUGAAUUAAAUACUUGAAUUAGUGUUAUGUUCCAUCUUCUCCUAUGCAAAUUUUUAAAAUAUUUUGUUUUUUGAUGUUUAGGUACACAUUACAAUAGAGUGUAUUUUGACAUAUUAUACAUACAUGGCGUAUAACUUAUUCUACUUAGGAUCCCAUUCUUGCAGUUGUACAUGUUUUGGAAUUACUGGUAAUGUAUUCAUAUAUAAACAUCUUGACUUAAUAUAACUUUAUUUUUAAAUUUAUGUGUAGCCUAAAUUUUUAAAAAUAAUUCAUAUGUUUUGAAACUGAUUGGAUAAUUC
Molecule: long non-coding RNA, 9487 nt
Filed under: Marmota monax (woodchuck)
Lineage: Eukaryota; Metazoa; Chordata; Mammalia; Rodentia; Sciuridae
Source: RNAcentral